Clarias gariepinus (North African catfish) is the source of this 868-nucleotide long non-coding RNA. RefSeq lists it as uncharacterized. The transcript has 4 exons. The record is from RefSeq and is a predicted model, not a curated record. NCBI's taxonomy places the organism in Eukaryota, Metazoa, Chordata, Actinopteri, Siluriformes, Clariidae.
UUUUCAGCACUUUGGCAUGGUUAGUUUGACAUUUCGCGUAAAUCACAGUGAACACUGCACGCAUUUGUCUCUCCAAAAGAAAAGAAAAAAAGAGAAAAAACACCGCACAAGGGCAUUAUAAGUAUUAUUAUGCAGCGCGCGUGCUGCUCCUCGGUGCCUUGAGCGCCAGCCUCACGCGCAGCCCCGGUUACCGAGCGACACCUUACCGUAAAUAAAUAACCAAUAAACAGUAACAAUAUAACACGCGUUAAACCCGCCUCCGCACCCAGCGCGAGACCCGAGCGGACAAACAGGCUCCGUAGAGCGGAUGUGAGGAAGUCAGGCAGCCGGCGCGCGGCGCUCCCAGGGCGGAUUGGAAUUCAGGCGAGGCCGCGGCUUCACACUGGGGCCCUGCUGUAACAUCAAUAGAGGAGGAGGGAGAGCGAGAGAAAGGAAGGAGGAAGACUUGACAUUCCAUCCUGCUAUUGAUUAGGCAAAGUGCAUUAACGACACACACCUGCUUUCCUGCACAGAACCUAGCUGCAUUAGUUGGAGUGCUUUUGUGUCAAUGCGGCGGUUUAGCCUCCGUUCUUAAAUCCUCCGAAAAAAUUACUUCUCCUCAUGAAAAACCCAGCACCGUCAUGGGCGGGAUCUACACAGAGGUAAUUUGCGUAGUGAGAUCAGGGAGUCCUUAAAAACCAAGGUACGUAUCUGACCCUGAGCACGAGGAGAUUUUCCCUAACGCAGUAGUAACUCGUUUUGACACGCUGUGCACGCCGCUAAUGAGUUUGUUCAAAGUGUGAGGUAGAGAAACAAAAGAGGAAGCUUUAAAGCAGCACAGAAUGUGUGUGUGUGUGUCAGGGAGAGAGAGUGUGAGACAAAACAAGGA